This 248-nucleotide long non-coding RNA is filed under the name Manihot esculenta (cassava). RNAcentral's name for it is "long non-coding RNA (MESC_LNC012965)". The record is from RNAcentral. Lineage: Eukaryota; Viridiplantae; Streptophyta; Magnoliopsida; Malpighiales; Euphorbiaceae.
UCAAACUAAAUGUAAGGAACCAACAGACAGAAAGACACCAAAUUGACAAACUAAGAAUCAAAAAUUGACAAGACGGAUGUGCUUAACACGAAGUUUUCCCUAAGCAUGCAAUCCUAGGUUAAUUGAUAUUAAUAUUGACUCAACAAAAACAAUUCAAAGCAAGCAAACAAAAUAGACACUUAAAACAACAAGUAUUAAGUACAACUAUUUUGUGAAAAUACUACCCAAAUUUGCCCUAAACCUACCCC